This 74-nucleotide transfer RNA is filed under the name Verrucomicrobiales bacterium. Its description in RNAcentral is "tRNA-Gly". It matches the Rfam family "tRNA". From Rfam's summary of the family: Transfer RNA (tRNA) molecules are approximately 80 nucleotides in length. Lineage: Bacteria; Pseudomonadati; Verrucomicrobiota; Verrucomicrobiia; Verrucomicrobiales. RNAcentral also lists the same sequence under 1 other name. The record is from RNAcentral.
GCGGGUGUAGCAUAGUGGUAAUGCUCCAGCCUUCCAAGCUGGCCAGGAGGGUUCGAUUCCCUUCACCCGCUCCA